AUGUCGCGAAAGGAAUACUCAUGGUUUCUGAAGACUGACUAUGCUCCCUCGAGUACUACGCAGCAACAAACUCAGGAUAACUCAGUCGAGAACUUUAAAAGAGCAAACAAGAUUCUGGCUUUGGAGUCUGAGCCGGUUCAAAUAUGGGAUUUCUCUGCGCGAACAACCUUCAUAUGGAUGAAUGAAUGGAACCGUAUGCCCCAAGAUCCUCGGUCUAAGAUCCUCGGCCUUCUGACCAGGAGGCAACAGGUGAGGAUGGUGGCAGGAGGAUGUACCUGCGGCGUGAGGAGAUGGGUGCAGGAACAGCCGGCGCACGGAGGUGGCUGGUUCCGACGGCCUCAGGUG
This 345-nucleotide ribosomal RNA is filed under the name Triticum aestivum (bread wheat). Its description in RNAcentral is "partial small subunit ribosomal RNA". The record is from RNAcentral. Lineage: Eukaryota; Viridiplantae; Streptophyta; Magnoliopsida; Poales; Poaceae.